This 79-nucleotide non-coding RNA is filed under the name unclassified sequences. The record is from Rfam.
GCCCCUUUGGUAUGGUGGCGGUCGGCGAAAGCCCCACAGCGCUUAUGUUAGGCGUAGGACACCUAAACCAAACGGGCUU